UUGGAUGACAAAAAAGAAAUAAUAGAAAAUAUAAAAAUUUUCGACAAAUUUCCUCCACUAACCUCAAGGUUAAAUUGUCAA
RNAcentral lists this transfer RNA (81 nucleotides) under Arthonia susa. Its description in RNAcentral is "tRNA-Ser". Lineage: Eukaryota; Fungi; Ascomycota; Arthoniomycetes; Arthoniales; Arthoniaceae. The record is from RNAcentral.